GCACAAGCGGUGGAUGAUGUGAUUAAUUCGAUGCAACGCGAAAAACCUUACCUACCCUUGACAUGUUCGGAAUCCCGAAGAGAUUUGGGAGUGCUCGCAAGAGAGCCGGAACACAGGUGCUGCAUGGCUGUCGUCAGCUCGUGUCGUGAGAUGUUGGGUUAAGUCCCGCAACGAGCGCAACCCUCGCCUCUAGUUGCCAGCAUUCGGUUGGGCACUCUAGAGGGACUGCCGGCGACAAGUCGGAGGAAGGUGGGGAUGACGUCAAAUCAUCAUGCCCCUUAUGACCUGGGCUACACACGUGCUACAAUGGGCGGUACAAAGGGCUGCGAACCCGCGAGGGGGAGCCAAUCCCACAAAGCCGGUCGUAGUCCGGAUCGCAGUCUGCAACUCGACUGCGUGAAGUCGGAAUCGCUAGUAAUCGCGGAUCAGCAUGUCGCGGUGAAUACGUUCCCGGGUCUU
This 459-nucleotide ribosomal RNA is filed under the name uncultured Geobacillus sp. RNAcentral's name for it is "bacterial SSU rRNA". It matches the Rfam family "Bacterial small subunit ribosomal RNA", at positions 923 to 1382 of the family's 1533-position model. The record is from RNAcentral. Lineage: Bacteria; Bacillati; Bacillota; Bacilli; Caryophanales; Anoxybacillaceae.